This 215-nucleotide unclassified non-coding RNA is filed under the name uncultured Mycena. RNAcentral's name for it is "sequence contains ITS2". The record is from RNAcentral. Lineage: Eukaryota; Fungi; Basidiomycota; Agaricomycetes; Agaricales; Tricholomataceae.
AAUUCUCAACCUUGAACCAGUUUUGCGACUGGGUCAAGGCUUGGAUGUGAGGGCUUUGCUGGCUUCCUUUAGUGGAUGGUCUGCUCCCUUUAAAUGCAUUAGUGGGAUCCUUUGUGGACGGUCACUUGGUGUGAUAAUUAUCUACGCCUUGUUGACUGUGAAGCAAAACUUAUGGGACCCUGCUUAUAACCGUCCUUCGGGACAAUUUAUUGACC